UUAUUUUGAUUCAUUAGGUGUUUAUUUUGGAUGGUCCGGAGUUUUUGGCUGCAACUAUGUUGGACAGAGAUAUGCUUGCUAUGGCUGGAAAUUGGUACCAUGUCGGUUGGUUUUGCUUGGCAAGAUUUGUGACGAUGCGUCGGACAAACAACAUUGGGAUAAGAUACAGCCUUGAGCCUUGGCAAGUUAACACAUUAGUUAGGGUUAUGAAGUUUUUCAUGGCACCGACACAUUAUUGAGCAGUAGCGCAUCAGAUGACCAGUGUAUAUCUCUACUUGAGGAAUUCUCCAAAGAUCCAGAGCCGAUUGUUUCAUAGAGCUGUGAAGUUGCUCUAAACAUACUGGAUUUUGAACGAUCCGGCAAACCAUUCGAGUACAUCUUUAUGUAGGCACCUCAAUUGCAGGAGGCAGCAUGAUGGUUUCACUUUGUUGUGUGUUUUGUUACCAUUGAGUACUAAAUGG
Molecule: long non-coding RNA, 461 nt
Organism: Helianthus annuus (common sunflower)
Lineage: Eukaryota; Viridiplantae; Streptophyta; Magnoliopsida; Asterales; Asteraceae
Exons: 4
Source: RefSeq, a predicted model, not a curated record